This is a non-coding RNA of Coffea arabica (coffee), 292 nucleotides long. The record is from RefSeq and is a predicted model, not a curated record. Lineage: Eukaryota; Viridiplantae; Streptophyta; Magnoliopsida; Gentianales; Rubiaceae.
GGGAUCGAUGUGCUCUCCACCAACUCUCAGCAAUUGAAGUUGUUGACAUAGGCUUAGGGUCUUCCUCGGAUAUUCUCAUUGAGUUGCAUUUUUCACUUUGAGACUUGUAUUGCUUGUUCAAACUCUUUUGGCCUCUAAUCCACAGCUACUAAUUGAUUGAAGAACAAUGAAGACAAAGUUGUGUUUUGCUCUUGAAGUGUUUCGGCAGUAGCUGCUAGCUAAGUUUAGGACUUAGAUUUAUUUUUGUAAAGCUGUAGCAGGAUGUUGAACUUAAGUAUGAUAUUUUGGCAUU